This 382-nucleotide ribosomal RNA is filed under the name uncultured bacterium. Its description in RNAcentral is "bacterial SSU rRNA". It matches the Rfam family "Bacterial small subunit ribosomal RNA", at positions 28 to 404 of the family's 1533-position model. The record is from RNAcentral.
GACGAACGCUGGCGGCGUGCUUAACACAUGCAAGUCGAGCGGUAAGGCCCUUUCGGGGUACGACGAGCGGCGAACGGGUGAGUAACACGUGGGUGACCUGCCCUCCAGCUCUGGGAGUAAGCCUGGGAAACGUGGGUCGUAAUACCGGAUAUGACCCCACUGACGCAUGUCGUGGGGUGGAAAGCCUUGUGCGGCUGAGGAUGGGCCCGGCGGCCUAUCAGCUUGUUGGUGGGGUGAUGGCCUACCAAGGCGACGACGGGUAGCCGGCCUGAGAGGGCGACCGGCCACACUGGGACUGAGACACGGCCCAGACUCCUACGGGAGGGCAGCAGUGGGGAAUCUUGCGCAAUGGGCGAAAGCCUGACGCAGCGACGCCGCGUGA